RNAcentral lists this ribosomal RNA (478 nucleotides) under uncultured bacterium. RNAcentral describes it as "partial 16S ribosomal RNA". It matches the Rfam family "Bacterial small subunit ribosomal RNA", at positions 28 to 507 of the family's 1533-position model. The record is from RNAcentral.
GAUGAACGCUAACGGCAGGCCUAACACAUGCAAGUCGAGGGAGAAGCCCUUUCGGGGGCAGAAACCGGCGCACGGGUGCGUAACGCGUAUGCAACCUACCUUUCACAGGGGGAUAGCCCGAAGAAAUUUGGAUUAAUACCCCAUAAUAGUAUUGGAUGGCAUCAUUUGAUAAUUAAAACUGCGGUGGUGAAAGAUGGGCAUGCGUCCUAUUAGCUAGUUGGAGUGGUAACGGCACCCCAAGGCUACGAUAGGUAGGGGUCCUGAGAGGGAGAUCCCCCACACUGGUACUGGGACAGGGACCAGACUCCUACGGCAGGCAGCAGUGAGGAAGACAGGUCAAUGGUCGGAAGACUGAACCAGCCAUGCCGCGUGCAGGAAGACUGCCUUAUGGGUGGUAAACUGCUUUUAUAUGGGAAGAAUAAGGCGUACGUGUACGUUGAUGACGGUACCAUAUGAAUAAGCAUCGGCUAACUCCGUG